This 1992-nucleotide long non-coding RNA is filed under the name Hordeum vulgare. RNAcentral describes it as "long non-coding RNA (HVUL_LNC011234)". The record is from RNAcentral. Lineage: Eukaryota; Viridiplantae; Streptophyta; Magnoliopsida; Poales; Poaceae.
AAGAUUGUAAAUAAAAUGUAUAUUUCAUUUCAAUAGCAUAUCACAUCAAAUACAAUACAUCAUCCACCGACUCCACGCAUUAAGGUUCAACGCCUAACACGGGCACAUCAAAAUAAUUUUACAUGUGCACAAUAAAAUACUUCUGCAAAAACACCUGCAAGGUUCUAGUAUACAAGGUUCAAAGCAUUAAGGUUCAUCAUCUUCCUCUACACAAUAUGCUCUUGCCAUUGCCUCCUGCAAGAAGAAAACGAUGGUAAGGCUUUCAGACCAAGGAAACUAGUAAAAUUGCACACACGAUAACCAAUGAUAAAACAGUAGAAAAUUGUUGCUGCAUAUACUUUGCUGCUUUGCUGAUAAAACAGUAGAAAAUGGUACGGUGUGGGUUAGUUUCAACAAACUGCUACUUUCUUGCAUUCCAAACAAGUCGAGACAUGCUAGCGUGACAGCUGCUGCAUAUACUUUGUAUUCUUCGGACUAGAGUAUAUAGAUUGUAGUAUACAUGUUGCAAAGUAAUAUGUAUUAUUGUAUGAAACAAAAAAUAUAAUGUUGCAUAUUACUGAAAAAUAGUAUCCUUGUGAAUUGUGAGUGUGAAUAUGUAUAAUUAUUACUGUUGUACGUGUAUAUAUAUAUAUCGAUGGCGUGACGCUACUUGUUUACACUAUAAUAUAGCUACGUGGACGCAUGUAUGAUGUACUUAGUAUGUACUCCCUCCGUUUCAAAAUAUAUGACCUUUUAGGGAUUCUACUAGGAGACUACAUACGGAGCAAAAUGAAUGAAUCUAUACUUUAAAUUAUGUCUAUGUACAUCCGUAUGUAGUUUAUAGUGCAAUCUCUAAAGGUCUUAUAUUUAGGAACGGAGGGAGUAGUAUGUAGGGGUUUUCGCAAAACAAAAGCAGUAUGAGGUAUCUGAAAAAGAAGUAUGGAGUAUGUCCAAAUUAGUAGUAUACCAAAACAGUACGAGUUUUGCAGCCUAAUUAUAAUUUUUUCUCAUGUACAUAUUUCUUUAGUAUAAUAACUAAAUGUAUGUUGGAACACCAACUAUUUCUUGUAUUAGAUAUAGCACCAAAUCUAUUUCAUGGUAUUAAAAUUGUGCAAUGCUUCAGCCCCAUCUAACCAAUAUAUCUAGUAGUCUCCGUACUCAAUUUAGAAUAUAUUUGAUACGGAGUCGUCAAAUGUACUCUCUGCUGCACAAUCCUUUUAUUCAAGUAAUCUCUUUGGUAGAAUAACUAAAUGUAUGUUGGAACACCAACUAUUUCUUCUAUUAGAUAUAGCACCAAAUCUUUUUCAUAGAUUUUACUAUUUUUUGAAAUAAUGUGAUAUCCACGGCAUGGAAUGAAAGCCAGUCUUAUGUCAAGUGGACGUAAGAAUUUCUAGUUCGUGUGUAUCAUGUAUAACUCUAAUUAAGUAUACCUGAACCUUCCAAAGGCGAACUUUUAUAUUAUAUUGGCAAACUUUAUAUUCUAUUUUUGUUAAACUCCUGUAAGAUAAUGCACCCAGUUAAUCAGUCCACGAAGGUUAUUCAGAGAAACAUAGGUAGUAAUAUCAUCGAUAUAGGGGACAUAUCCUUUAGUUACAUGGUGAUAUUAUAUGCAUAGGUGCAACAUGCAAUUGAUAGAGAUAUUAAUCGAUCUAGAUAUCUAGGAAGAUAUACUUAAGCACUCAUCAACAAAUGAUUCUAAUAUUCGAUCCUACUUAAAAAAAGAGUUAUAUGUACAUGUAUUGAUCAAGUAGAAGUAAAUACUAACAAAUUCGUGCAGAAAUUUACUUUGGCCAACGCAAAUCUGACUCAACUUGAUACAUACAACUAAAUCAAACCUUUGUCUCUUAAGUAAUCAUUGAUCCCAAUGCAACGAUCACACCUCCACUUCAAUUGUCCUGCACCGGCAUUUUUCUCACCCACCUUACUUGACAUUAACUGUACCUGCAAGGCGACAACUACAUUAGCUUUCUCCUUGAGCCGUUCACAAUGGUGUUCCACUGAUUAUUCAAGAGG